ACUUCGUUCCAUGAUGCCCAGGUUCCCUUCUUUACCCGAGGACUCACAACAGGAGGACUACUACAAUUCCUCUUUUCCUCCAUCAAGCGCUGUAUCUCCAUCUUCACUACUCUUAAUUCCUCCUUAAGCUGCUGGUUAACUAUCCCAUGUGGUGUCCUGAGAGCUUCGAGUCACCUUCAGGAAAAUAUGAGUCACUACUUCCCAAAUCAAAUCAUAGUUUCAACUUUGGCAAUAGUCAGGGUUUAAUGUAUGAAGCAGUUGAAGUCAGGCGCUGCAUUAAGGAAGGUCUGCUGGAGAGUCCAGGGAUGAGCCAUGAAGAAUCGCUCACCAUUGCUGAGAUUAUGGAGCAGAUAAGACGGCAGGUUGGAGUCAAGUAUGAAUAAAAAAGCUGUAAUGCAGCAGUCAUCAAGGCAGCUAUUUUUAAAGUAAAAGAUCCCAGUUGUAUACCAUCUUAGUAUUUAGAAUAUAGCUGUUCUUCAUCAUGACAUUUUAAGAAUUUGGUGUUAUUUGUCAACUUAGCAAUUAAAGAAUGUAAUUAUAAUUUGAUUACUUCAGUCUGAGUGAAGUAUGUAAUUUUUGUAAUUACAUUAGUUUAACAAGUAAUAUGAGUUUUCAUAAGUUUCAUCAUUUAUAUACAGUAUACAAUAUAUUAAUUAUAGCCAAUUUACCACUAAGGUAGUGACCUAAAGUAGGAAAACACACCUCCCUAGAAAUGAAGGGACAUCACAAUUCAGAU
Molecule: non-coding RNA, 736 nt
Organism: Cherax quadricarinatus
Lineage: Eukaryota; Metazoa; Arthropoda; Malacostraca; Decapoda; Parastacidae
Source: RefSeq, a predicted model, not a curated record